AGGCCCAGGGGAUUGCCUUCGCCAUCGGUGUUCCUCCGCAUAUCUACGCAUUUCACUGCUACACGCGGAAUUCCAUCCCCCUCUGCCGCACUCUAGCCUUGCAGUCACAAUGGCAGUUCCCAGGUUGAGCCCGGGGAUUUCACCACUGUCUUACAAAACCGCCUGCGCACGCUUUACGCCCAGUAAUUCCGAUUAACGCUUGCACCCUACGUAUUACCGCGGCUGCUGGCACGUAGUUAGCCGGUGCUUAUUCUUACGGUACCGUCAUGACCCGGGGAUAUUAGCCCCAGGCUUUUCGUUCCGUACAAAAGCAGUUUACAACCCGAGGGCCUUCAUCCUGCACGCGGCAUUGCUGGAUCAGGCUUUCGCCCAUUGUCCAAAAUUCCCCACUGCUGCCUCCCGUAGGAGUCUGGGCCGUGUCUCAGUCCCAGUGUGGCUGGUCGUCCUCUCAGACCAGCUACAGAUCGCAGGCUUGGUAAGCCUUUACCCCACCAACUACCUAAUCUGCCAUCAGCCGCUCUAGUAGCACAAGGCCCGAAGGUCCCCUGCUUUCAUCCGUAGAUCUCAUGCGGUAUUAGCUACUCUUUCGAGUAGUUAUCCCCCACUACUAGGCACGUUCCGAUGUAUUACUCACCCGUUCGCCACUCGUCAGCAUCCGAAGACCUGUUACCGUUCGACUUGCAUGUGUAAAGCAUGCCGCCAGCGUUCAAU
Molecule: ribosomal RNA, 711 nt
Filed under: Comamonas thiooxydans
Lineage: Bacteria; Pseudomonadati; Pseudomonadota; Betaproteobacteria; Burkholderiales; Comamonadaceae
Description: partial 16S rRNA
Source: RNAcentral